This is a long non-coding RNA of Oreochromis niloticus (Nile tilapia), 523 nucleotides long. RefSeq lists it as uncharacterized. The transcript has 3 exons. The record is from RefSeq and is a predicted model, not a curated record. Lineage: Eukaryota; Metazoa; Chordata; Actinopteri; Cichliformes; Cichlidae.
GUAACUUUCCUCAGCAUCAGCUCUCCUCCUCUGGGUGGAGCCCUUCCUGCCCCUCCCCGUUCCUCAGCUGCAGGCAAUUAUUCUGGCAGUAUUUAGGAGCAGCGCACACUAUGAGUGUUCGCCAGAUCGUCUGCUAACCUCAUCGGUACCUGGACUCAUCAUUCCAAAACCUGCCAUAGCCUCGUUCCUGGAUUCCGGUCAGCUGCUGCUUAAUCCUUUUCAGACAAACUGCCAUUCACACCUGCCUGCCUCCCUGCAUACCUGUAUUGGACUCAGCACUCGCCUGGACCUCGCCUCGCCUCCACCUUCAGCUAAUCCCCGCCUGCGAACACUGCCCUGGUCUGCCACAGCUUCCACCAGCCCCACUCCAGUUUCAGCAGUUUAGUGACCUGACUGUUCCAUGCUUGCCCUAGCCCCGCACCUCACAGACACCACGCUUUUGCACUAAGUUUAAUCUUGUUUUCUGUCUUAAAUAUUUAUGUUAGGAACACGUGUAAAUAAAAGUUUUUGUUUUCGCAAAUCA